RNAcentral lists this ribosomal RNA (1158 nucleotides) under Flavobacterium sp. RNAcentral describes it as "bacterial SSU rRNA". Lineage: Bacteria; Pseudomonadati; Bacteroidota; Flavobacteriia; Flavobacteriales; Flavobacteriaceae. The record is from RNAcentral.
CACAUGCAAGUCGAGGGGUAGAAAUAGCUUGCUAUUUUGAGACCGGCGCACGGGUGCGUAACGCGUAUGCAAUCUGCCUUGUACUGGGGGAUAGCCCGGAGAAAUCCGGAUUAAUACCCCAUAGUAUAUAAGAGUGGCAUCAUUUUUAUAUUAAAGAAUUUCGGUACAAGAUGAGCAUGCGUCCCAUUAGCUAGUUGGUAUGGUAACGGCAUACCAAGGCUUUGAUGGGUAGGGGUCCUGAGAGGGAGAUCCCCCACACUGGUACUGAGACACGGACCAGACUCCUACGGGAGGCAGCAGUGAGGAAUAUUGGUCAAUGGACGCAAGUCUGAACCAGCCAUGCCGCGUGCAGGAUGACGGUCCUAUGGAUUGUAAACUGCUUUUGUACGGGAAGAAACGACUCUACGUGUAGAGUUUUGACGGUACCGUAAGAAUAAGGAUCGGCUAACUCCGUGCCAGCAGCCGCGGUAAUACGGAGGAUCCAAGCGUUAUCCGGAAUCAUUGGGUUUAAAGGGUCCGUAGGCGGUUUUAUAAGUCAGUGGUGAAAUCCGGCAGCUCAACUGUCGAACUGCCAUUGAUACUGUAGAACUUGAAUUAUUGUGAAGUAACUAGAAUAUGUAGUGUAGCGGUGAAAUGCUUAGAUAUUACAUGGAAUACCAAUUGCGAAGGCAGGUUACUAACAAUAGAUUGACGCUGAUGGACGAAAGCGUGGGGAGCGAACAGGAUUAGAUACCCUGGUAGUCCACGCCGUAAACGAUGGAUACUAGCUGUUCGGAAGCAAUUCUGAGUGGCUAAGCGAAAGUGAUAAGUAUCCCACCUGGGGAGUACGAACGCAAGUUUGAAACUCAAAGGAAUUGACGGGGGCCCGCACAAGCGGUGGAGCAUGUGGUUUAAUUCGAUGAUACGCGAGGAACCUUACCAGGGCUUAAAUGUAGAGUGACAGGACUGGAAACAGUUUUUUCUUCGGACACUUUACAAGGUGCUGCAUGGUUGUCGUCAGCUCGUGCCGUGAGGUGUCAGGUUAAGUCCUAUAACGAGCGCAACCCCUGUUGUUAGUUGCCAUCGAGUAAUGUCGGGAACUCUAACAAGACUGCCGGUGCAAACCGSGNGGAAGGKGGGGAUGACGUCAAAUCAUCMCGGCCCUUACGUCCUGGGCUA